CCUACGGGAUGCAGCAGUGGGGAAUAUUGGGCAAUGGCGGAAACUCUGACCCAGCAACGCCGCGUGAAGGAUGAAGGUUUUCGGAUUGUAAACUUCUGUCGCGAGGGAUGAAGAAUGACGGUAUCUAACGAAUAAGCACCUGCUAACUCCGUGCCAGCAGCCGCGGUAAUACGGAGGGUGCAAGCGUUACUCGGAAUCACUGGGCGUAAAGAGUGCGUAGGCGGGGUAAUAAGUCAGAUGUGAAAUCCUGUAGCUUAACUACAGAACUGCAUUUGAAACUGUUACUCUGGAGUGUGGGAGAGGUAGGUGGAAUUCUUGGUGUAGGGGUAAAAUCCGUAGAGAUCAAGAGGAAUACUCAUUGCGAAGGCGACCUGCUGGAACAUUACUGACGCUGAUGCACGAAAGCGUGGGGAGCAAACAGGAUUAGAUACCCGGGUAGUC
Molecule: ribosomal RNA, 441 nt
Filed under: uncultured bacterium
Lineage: Bacteria
Description: partial 16S ribosomal RNA
Rfam family: Bacterial small subunit ribosomal RNA
Source: RNAcentral